AAGUCGUAACAAGGUUUCCGUAGGUGAACCUGCGGAAGGAUCAUUAAUAACAUAGCAAACCAAGCGUUAGCGAGGUUCUGCGAUCAAAUUGUAUUUAAAACCCAACACUUUUGAAUCAAUAUUUUUUAUGUAUCUUAAAUAAUAAAAGAUCACUUUCAACAACGGAUCUCUUGGUUCUC
This 179-nucleotide unclassified non-coding RNA is filed under the name fungal sp. Its description in RNAcentral is "partial internal transcribed spacer region". The stretch from base 1 to 46 matches the Rfam family "Eukaryotic small subunit ribosomal RNA", at positions 1786 to 1831 of the family's 1831-position model. RNAcentral also lists the same sequence under 1 other name. The record is from RNAcentral. Lineage: Eukaryota; Fungi.